RNAcentral lists this ribosomal RNA (491 nucleotides) under uncultured bacterium. Its description in RNAcentral is "partial 16S ribosomal RNA". It matches the Rfam family "Bacterial small subunit ribosomal RNA", at positions 29 to 507 of the family's 1533-position model. The record is from RNAcentral.
GUGAACGCUGGCGGUAGGCCUAACACAUGCAAGUCGAACGGCAGCACAGUAAGAGCUUGCUCUUACGGGUGGCGAGUGGCGGACGGGUGAGGAAUACAUCGGAAUCUACUUUUUCGUGGGGGAUAACGUAGGGAAACUUACGCUAAUACCGCAUACGACCUACGGGUGAAAGCAGGGGAUCUUCGGACCUUGCGCGAUUGAAUGAGCCGAUGUCGGAUUAGCUAGUUGGCGGGGUAAAGGCCCACCAAGGCGACGAUCCGUAGCUGGUCUGAGAGGAUGAUCAGCCACACUGGAACUGAGACACGGUCCAGACUCCUACGGGAGGCAGCAGUGGGGAAUAUUGGACAAAGGGCGCAAGCCUGAUCCAGCCAUACCGCGUGGGUGAAGAAGGCCUUCGGGUUGUAAAGCCCUUUUGUUGGGAAAGAAAAGCAGCAGGUUAAUACCCCGCUGUUCUGACGGUACCCAAAGAAUAAGCACCGGCUAACUUCGUG